GAGGAAUAUUGCUCAAUGGGCGCGAGCCUGAACCAGCCAAGUAGCUUGAAGGAUGAAUGCACUAUGGGUUGUAACCUUCUUUUAUAAGUGAAUAAAGUGAGGCACGUGUGCCUUAUUGUAUGUACAUUAUGAAUAUUCAUCCGCUAACUUCGUGCCAGCAGCCGCGGUAAUACGGAGGAUGCAAGCGUUAUCCGGAUUUAUUGGUUUUAAAGGGAGCGUAGGCGGACUAUUAAGUCAGCUGUGAAAGUUUACGGCUCAACCGUGAAAUUGCAGUUGAAACUGGUCGUCUUGAGUGCAGUAAAGGUGGGCGGAAUUCGUGGUGUAGCGGUGAAAUGCUUAGAUAUCACGAAGAACUCCAAUUGCGAAGGCAGCUCACUGGAGUGUAACUGACGCUGAUGCUCGAAAGUGUGGGUAUCAAACA
This 421-nucleotide ribosomal RNA is filed under the name uncultured Bacteroides sp. RNAcentral describes it as "bacterial SSU rRNA". It matches the Rfam family "Bacterial small subunit ribosomal RNA", at positions 356 to 774 of the family's 1533-position model. Lineage: Bacteria; Pseudomonadati; Bacteroidota; Bacteroidia; Bacteroidales; Bacteroidaceae. The record is from RNAcentral.